UCUGGUGGUCAUAGCAUGCCUGUCCCACCCGAUCCCAUCCCGAACUCGGAAGUGAAAGGGCAUCGCGCCGAUGGUACUUCGGCUUAAGCCGCGGAAGAGUAGGUCGCCGCCAGAU
This 115-nucleotide ribosomal RNA is filed under the name Temperatibacter marinus. Lineage: Bacteria; Pseudomonadati; Pseudomonadota; Alphaproteobacteria; Kordiimonadales; Temperatibacteraceae. The record is from RNAcentral.